This 218-nucleotide long non-coding RNA is filed under the name Elaeis guineensis (African oil palm). RNAcentral's name for it is "long non-coding RNA (EGUI_LNC028284)". The record is from RNAcentral. Lineage: Eukaryota; Viridiplantae; Streptophyta; Magnoliopsida; Arecales; Arecaceae.
ACUAUAAAAAGGGGUUCUUUUUAAACAACCAAAGGAGUUACAGCUAAUAGAUCAUUUCUCACGCCUCUCUUCCUCCUUUCCAUGCCUCCUCUCUCUUCUAUCUCUGAUAUCUAUCCCUCUUCCAUGUUCAAGGGUGUUGGAUAAGCCAUCUGGUGGGUUUAAGGUGUCGAAUGCCAUAAGUUCUAUGUGAAGAGUCGAAAAGGCUGCCAUCAGGGGCU